This 253-nucleotide ribosomal RNA is filed under the name uncultured bacterium. Its description in RNAcentral is "partial 16S ribosomal RNA". It matches the Rfam family "Bacterial small subunit ribosomal RNA", at positions 524 to 776 of the family's 1533-position model. The record is from RNAcentral.
UACAGAGGGGGCAAGCGUUGUUCGGAAUUACUGGGCGUAAAGGGCGCGUAGGCGGCCUGUUAAGUCGAACGUGAAAUCCCCGGGCUCAACCCGGGAACUGCGUCCGAUACUGGCAGGCUUGAAUCCGGGAGAGGGAUGCGGAAUUCCAGGUGUAGCGGUGAAAUGCGUAGAUAUCGAGAGGAACACCUGCGGCGAAGGCGGGACUCUGGGCCGAUACUGACGCUGAGGAGCGAAAGCGUGGGGAGCAAACAGG